AGGUUCGGAGCGACCUUGGCCGUUGGCCUGACCAUCUUUGUGCUGUCUGUCGUCACUAUCAUCAUCUGCUUCACCUGCUCCUGCUGCUGCCUUUACAAGACGUGCCGCCGACCACGUCCGGUUGUCACCACCACCACAUCCACCACUGUGGUGCAUGCCCCUUAUCCUCAGCCUCCAAGUGUGCCGCCCAGCUACCCUGGACCAAGCUACCAGGGCUACCACACCAUGCCGCCUCAGCCAGGGAUGCCAGCAGCACCCUACCCAAUGCAGUACCCACCACCUUACCCAGCCCAGCCCAUGGGCCCACCGGCCUACCACGAGACCCUGGCUGUUGAUAUGAGACUGAAACCCCUGGGUUGUGGAGGGAAAUUGGCUCAGAGAUGGACAACCUGGCAACUGUGAGUCCCUGCUUCCCGACACCAGCCUCAUGGAAUAUGCAACUCCUGUACCCCAGUCCAGGGUGUUCUGGCAGCAGGGACACCUGGGCCAAUGAGCCAUCUGGACCAAAGGUGGGGUGUGGGGCCCUGGAUGGCAGCUCUGGCCCAGACAUGAAUACCUCGGUGUUCCUCCUCCCUCUAUUACUGUUUCACCAGAGCUGUCUUAGCUCAAAUCUGUUGUGUUUCUGAGUCUAGGGUCUGUACACUUGUUUAUAAUAAAUGCAAUCGUUUGGA
Molecule: small RNA, 671 nt
Filed under: Pan troglodytes (chimpanzee)
Lineage: Eukaryota; Metazoa; Chordata; Mammalia; Primates; Hominidae
Description: processed transcript
Source: RNAcentral